Molecule: long non-coding RNA, 396 nt
Organism: Salarias fasciatus (jewelled blenny)
Lineage: Eukaryota; Metazoa; Chordata; Actinopteri; Blenniiformes; Blenniidae
Exons: 2
Source: RefSeq, a predicted model, not a curated record
GGUGUAGCAGUGGGUGUAGCAGCGGGUGUAGCAGCUGGUGUAGCAGCUGGUGUAGCGACUACAGAGAGAAAAAGGCAGGAAGGUCGUUCCACAGGUUUCCGGUCGAUGUAGAACGGAGAGAGGAGUGGAUCGCUGCCCUCGGCCUGCUGGUGAGGAACUCAGCGGAGCAGUGGCGACCAGCAAGAACCCGUGGAACGUUCUGUUGGAGGACCUGUCAGCAGCGAUCCGUCUCUCCUGCGUACACACCAUCGAUCUUCCAACACCUGCCAUCCCCCAAAAACCACGAAGACAGCGAGCUCUUCAGGCUACAUGCACAGAGAGGAUGCAAACAAAAAAAAAAGAAGGGCGAUUCAAAGACACACUGAAGCUGCAGAGUGUUGUUAACCCUGCAUGAAG